CCGAGUUUACAACUCCCAAACCCAAUGUGAACGUUACCAAACUGUUGCCUCGGCGGGAUCUCUGCCCCGGGUGCGUCGCAGCCCCGGACCAAGGCGCCCGCCGGAGGACCAACCAAAACUCUUAUUGUAUACCCCCUCGCGGGUUUUUUAAUAAUCUGAGCCUUCUCGGCGCCUCUCGUAGGCGUUUCGAAAAUGAAUCAAAACUUUCAACAACGGAUCUCUUGGUUCUGGCAUCGAUGAAGAACGCAGCGAAAUGCGAUAAGUAAUGUGAAUUGCAGAAUUCAGUGAAUCAUCGAAUCUUUGAACGCACAUUGCGCCCGCCAGUAUUCUGGCGGGCAUGCCUGUCCGAGCGUCAUUUCAACCCUCGAACCCCUCCGGGGGGUCGGCGUUGGGGAUCGGCCCUCCCUUAGCGGGUGGCCGUCUCCGAAAUACAGUGGCGGUCUCGCCGCAGCCUCUCCUGCGCAGUAGUUUGCACACUCGCAUCGGGAGCGCGGCGCGUCCACAGCCGUUAAACACCCAACUUCUGAAAUGUUGACCUCGGAUCAGGUAGGAAUACCCGCUGAACUUAAGCAUAUCAAU
RNAcentral lists this ribosomal RNA (579 nucleotides) under Trichoderma breve. RNAcentral describes it as "eukaryotic LSU rRNA". The stretch from base 202 to 355 matches the Rfam family "5.8S ribosomal RNA". Lineage: Eukaryota; Fungi; Ascomycota; Sordariomycetes; Hypocreales; Hypocreaceae. The record is from RNAcentral.